Molecule: unclassified non-coding RNA, 200 nt
Filed under: fungal sp.
Lineage: Eukaryota; Fungi
Description: partial internal transcribed spacer 2
Source: RNAcentral
UUAAGUUCAGCGGGUAUCCCUACCUGAUCCGAGGUCAAAAGAUGUAGAGUAGCUUAAUGGUAGGAGGCAAGCUGGAGCCGCUACGCAAUGUGCUGCGCGCGAAAGCCAACUGACCGGCUGCCAAUAGAUUUGAGGCGAGUCCACGCGCGGAGGCGGAACAAACGCCCAACACCAAGCAGAGCUUGAAGGUUUAAAUGACG